UACGUAGGGGGCAAGCGUUGUCCGGAAUCAUUGGGCGUAAAGCGCGUGUAGGCGGCUCGAUAAGUCUGCUGUGAAAGUCCAGGGCUCAACCCUGGGAUGCCGGUGGAUACUGUCGAGCUCGAGUCCGGAAGAGGCGAGUGGAAUUCCUGGUGUAGCGGUGAAAUGCGCAGAUAUCAGGAGGAACACCAAUGGCGAAGGCAGCUCGCUGGGACGGUACUGACGCUGAGGAGCGAAAGCAUGGGGAGCGAACAGG
RNAcentral lists this ribosomal RNA (253 nucleotides) under uncultured bacterium. Its description in RNAcentral is "partial 16S ribosomal RNA". It matches the Rfam family "Bacterial small subunit ribosomal RNA", at positions 524 to 776 of the family's 1533-position model. The record is from RNAcentral.